Molecule: non-coding RNA, 86 nt
Organism: Polyplosphaeria fusca
Lineage: Eukaryota; Fungi; Ascomycota; Dothideomycetes; Pleosporales; Tetraplosphaeriaceae
Source: the annotation of a GenBank genome assembly
GGCUUCGUGGUCUAGUGGUAUGAUUCCUGCUUUGGGUAGUUACUCAAAUCUGCAGGAGGCCCCGCGUUCGAAUCGCGGCGGAGCCC